GCUUAGCCCAGAUAGCAGUGAAAAUCCUUUUUAUCCGCCUUUUCGGCGGAUAAAAAGAUUGCAAUGGAUAGCUGGAAAUAGC
RNAcentral lists this small RNA (82 nucleotides) under Flavobacterium xinjiangense. RNAcentral's name for it is "Flavo-1 RNA". It matches the Rfam family "Flavo-1 RNA". Lineage: Bacteria; Pseudomonadati; Bacteroidota; Flavobacteriia; Flavobacteriales; Flavobacteriaceae. The record is from RNAcentral.